CGGGUGAGUAACGCGUGAGAAUCUGCCUUCAGGUUCGGGACAACCACUGGAAACGGUGGCUAAUACCGAAUGUGCAGCAAUGUGAAAUAUUUAUAGCCUGGAGAUGAGCUCGCGUCUGAUUAGCUAGUAGGUGUGGUAAGAGCGCACCUAGGCGACGAUCAGUAGCUGGUCUGAGAGGAUGAUCAGCCACACUGGGACUGAGACACGGCCCAGACUCCUACGGGAGGCAGCAGUGGGGAAUUUUCCGCAAUGGGCGAAAGCCUGACGGAGCAAUACCGCGUGAGGGAGGAAGGCUCUUGGGUUGUAAACCUCUUUUCUCAGGGAAGAAAAAAAUGACGGUACCUGAGGAAUAAGCAUCGGCUAACUCCGUGCCAGCAGCCGCGGUAAUACGGAGGAUGCAAGCGUUAUCCGGAAUGAUUGGGCGUAAAGCGUCCGCAGGUGGCUAUGUAAGUCUGCUGUUAAAGAAUCUGGCUCAACCAGAUAAAGGCAGUGGAAACUACAUGGCUAGAGUGCGUUCGGGGCAGAGGGAAUUCCUGGUGUAGCGGUGAAAUGCGUAGAGAUCAGGAAGAACACCGGUGGCGAAAGCGCUCUGCUAGGCCGCAACUGACACUGAGGGACGAAAGCUAGGGGAGCGAAUGGGAUUAGAUACCCCAGUAGUCCUAGC
This 664-nucleotide ribosomal RNA is filed under the name uncultured cyanobacterium. Its description in RNAcentral is "bacterial SSU rRNA". It matches the Rfam family "Bacterial small subunit ribosomal RNA", at positions 103 to 800 of the family's 1533-position model. The record is from RNAcentral. Lineage: Bacteria; Bacillati; Cyanobacteriota.